Small nucleolar RNA from Carlito syrichta (Philippine tarsier), 215 nucleotides. Lineage: Eukaryota; Metazoa; Chordata; Mammalia; Primates; Tarsiidae. The record is from Ensembl.
AAGACUACUUUCAGGGAUCAUUUCUAUAGUUCAUUACUAGAGAAGUUUCUCUGAUUAUGUAGAACACCAGAAACCAUGAGGAGGAGUUGCAGCGUCCUCUCCUGAGCGUGAAGGCGGCUCUUGGUGUUGCUUCGCUGCAGCUGCCAUUUGCCAUUGAUGAUCGUUCUUGCUUUUCUUCGAGGGAGCAAGAGGGAGAGGACACAGUCUGACUGGUA